GCCGGCCAGGCUAAUUCUCCACAAAAGCUCUCCAAUACAACUCUCCCAAUAAAAUAAUAUUAGGAUAACCUAAUACCAUUUUCUAAAUUUAUUGGGACAGUUGCUACAGCAGAUCAUCAAUAAUCUCCUUCAAUAUAUAGGACAUACUUGUCACUAACAAUUUAUUCAUUUAUUUAUUUAUUUAUUUAUUUAUUUAUUUUUCUUUCAUCUUCUCCAAUCGGGACUGCAUCUCUUCGUCGCGCAGCGCCACCCAGCGCUCCUCGCCCCCUCCCUCGCCAUUGGGUAUCACCGCUAGAGCUCGAAGGCCGCUCCCUGUCUCCUCCCACCACACCUUUUCUUCUCCGGCCCGUUCUGCCCCAAGCCAUGGCACCCAAGAUUUGGCAGCGUACGUAUGCCCUGAACCUAGGCCUACAUCUCUCUUCUCUCUCCACGAGAUCUACAGGCACUACAGGCUGACACAGGCUCGCCAUGGAGCUCUCGAGCAUGACCAUGGAUACGAACAGCUUGAGCACAGCCAUAGGCGGCGAGCUCAGCAACGCCAAGGC
This 545-nucleotide long non-coding RNA is filed under the name Sorghum bicolor (sorghum). RNAcentral describes it as "long non-coding RNA (SBIC_LNC011059)". Lineage: Eukaryota; Viridiplantae; Streptophyta; Magnoliopsida; Poales; Poaceae. The record is from RNAcentral.